This 2034-nucleotide ribosomal RNA is filed under the name Candidatus Arthromitus sp. SFB-4. RNAcentral's name for it is "bacterial LSU rRNA". It matches the Rfam family "Bacterial large subunit ribosomal RNA", at positions 1 to 2059 of the family's 2925-position model. The record is from RNAcentral. Lineage: Bacteria; Bacillati; Bacillota; Clostridia; Eubacteriales; Clostridiaceae.
AAAAUAGGUCAAGCUACUAAGAGCGCACAGAGGAUGACUUGGCAUCAGGAGCUGAUGAAGGACGUGAUAAGCUGCGAUAAGCUACGGGUAGACGCAAAUAGUCAUGGAUCCGUAGAUUUCCGAAUGGGGGAACCCACAUAGUGAGAGACUAUGUAUCUAGUAAUGAAUUAAUAGUUAUUAGAAGGUAGACGCAGGGAACUGAAACAUCUAAGUACCUGUAGGAAGAGAAAGAAAUAUCGAUUCCCUAAGUAGUGGCGAGCGAAAGGGGAAGAGCCCAAACCCAAGGAAACUUGGGGGUUGAGGGGGUCUAUAAUUGAGAAAGUAGGUUAGAUGAAUAUAGAUGGAAAUCUAAGCCGAAGAGUGUAAUAGCCACGUAAUUUAAAACUGAAAUUGAGAGAGACUUACCCAGAGUACCACGAGACACGAGGAACCUUGUGGGAAGCAGGGUGGACCACCACCCAAGGCUAAAUACUACCUGAUGACCGAUAGAGGAGUAGUACCGUGAGGGAAAGGUGAAAAGAACCCCGGGAGGGGAGUGAAAUAGAACCUGAAACUGUGUGCUUACAACCGCUCAGAGCACGUAAUAUGUGUGAUGAGGUGCUUUUUGUAGAACGAGCCAACGAGUUACGAUGUGUAGCGAGAUUAAGGUCUUAAGGACUGUAGUCGAAGAGAAAUCGAGUGUUAAUAGCGCGAAUAGUUGCAUGUUGUAGACCCGAAACCGGGUGACCUAUCCAUGAUCAGGUUGAAGCGAAGGUAAAACUUCGUGGAGGACCGAACCACGUUGGUGUUGAAAAACCAUGGGAUGAAUUGUGGAUAGCGGAGAAAUUCCAAUCGAACUCGGAGAUAGCUGGUUCUCCCCGAAAUAGCUUUAGGGCUAGCGUUAAUACAUAGAAUAUAGGAGGUAGAGCACUAAAUGGGCUAGGGGCCGUAAGGUUACCGAACCUUAUUAAACUCCGAAUGCCUAUAUUUGUUUAUUAGCAGUCAGUCUAAGAGUGAUAAGAUUCUUGGACAAAAGGGAAAAAGCCCAGAUCACCAGCUAAGGUCCCAAAGUAUGAGUUAAGUGGUAAAGGAUGUGGAGAUUCUAAGACAACUAGGAUGUUGGCUUAGAAGCAGCCAUUCAUUUAAAGAGUGCGUAAUAGCUCACUAGUCGAGAGUUUCUGCGCCGAAGAUAAACGGGGCUAAAACUCAUCACCGAAGCUGUGGAAUGGAAACAUUGGUAGGGGAGCGUUGUAUAAGAGUUGAAGCUAAAGCGGGAGCAAUAGUGGAUUUUAUACAAGAGAGAAUGUUGGCAUAAGUAGCGAGAAUUAGGUGAGAAUCCUAAUGGUCGAAAGCCUAAGGUUUCCUGGGGAAGGUUCGUCCGCCCAGGGUAAGUCGGGACCUAAGCUGAGGUCGAAAGGCGUAAGUGAUGGAUAAUCGGUAGAUAUUCCGAUACCACUAAUUAUUGAUUGAUCGAUGGAGGGAAGCAGAAGGAUAGGAUAGCCAACAGAUGGAGGUUGGUCUAAGAGAAGAGAUAGCAUGUAGAGGCAAAUCCAUAUAUGCGAUUAAGUUGAUUCUUUAUGGGGAGACGAAUGAGUUGAAGUAUCUGAUUUCACACUGACGAGAAAAACUUCUAGGUAGAUAAUUAGUGCCCGUACCACAAACCGACACAGGUAGGCGAGGUGAGAAUCCAAAGACCAGCGGAAGAAUUGCAGUUAAGGAACUCGGCAAAUUGACCCCGUAAGUUAGCGAGAAGGGGUGCCAUAGAGAUAUGGUCGCAGAGAAUAGGCCCAAGCAACUGUUUAUCAAAAACACAGGUCUCUGCAAAAGCGAAAGCUUAAGUAUAGGGGCUGACGCCUGCCCGGUGCUGGAAGGUUAAGGGGAGCUGUUAUCGUAAGAGAAGCAGUGAACUUAAGCCCCAGUAAACGGCGGCCGUAACUAUAACGGUCCUAAGGUAGCGAAAUUCCUUGUCAGGUAAGUUCUGACCCGCACGAAUGGCGUAAUGACUUGGGCGCUGUCUCAACUGCAAAUCCGGCGAAAUUGUAGUGCAAGUGAAGA